RNAcentral lists this ribosomal RNA (397 nucleotides) under uncultured bacterium. RNAcentral describes it as "partial 16S ribosomal RNA". It matches the Rfam family "Bacterial small subunit ribosomal RNA", at positions 523 to 918 of the family's 1533-position model. The record is from RNAcentral.
AUACGUAGGGGGCGAGCGUUGUCCGGAAUGAUUGGGCGUAAAGGGCGUGUAGGCGGUUGUCUAAGUCUGGAGUGCAAGGCCUGCUUUCAAGGUGGGAAUAGCGUUGGAUACUGGAUGACUUGAGUGCGGAAGAGGGAAGUGGAAUUCCCAGUGUAGCGGUGAAAUGGGUAGAGAUUGGGAGGAACACCAGUGGCGAAGGCGACUUACUGGGCCGUAACUGACGCUGAGGCGCGAAAGCGUGGGGAGCGAACAGGAUUAGAGACCCUGGUAGUCCACGCUGUAAACGAUGGGUACUAGGUGUAGGAGGUAUCGACCCCUUCUGUGCCGGAGUUAACGCAAUAAGUACCCCGCCUGGGGACUACGGUCGCAAGACUAAAACUCAAAUGAAUUGACGGGG